RNAcentral lists this long non-coding RNA (1075 nucleotides) under Equus caballus (horse). RNAcentral describes it as "lncRNA (ENSECAG00000044403.1)". The record is from RNAcentral. Lineage: Eukaryota; Metazoa; Chordata; Mammalia; Perissodactyla; Equidae.
CGCCUGGUGUGGACCGUGCAGGCUGCAACGCGGCAGAAUCGAGUGGAGCACCUGGUGCCCGCCUUCCUGGAUGGCGACACCGCCUACGUCCGCAGCUUCCUGUGCACGUACAGAGGUUUUGCCACCACACAACAGGUGCUGGAGCUUCUGUUUCAAAGCCUCUGCCUCAUCCCUCACCGCCCCGGGAAUUGGACUGAGUUGUCGUCUUCCGAUUGGAAAAGGAGACGGGAGAGCCCUUCUAGGUCCCUGACCUGGGUGAAGCCAGAGCAGCCAUCCCUGGGCUGAGCCGAGGCCCCCGACCCGCCCAAGCAGGAGUGAGGGGCCGGUUGGAGCUCCCUCCUUCAUCACACACAGAGAGAGGUCCCCACUAGGUGCAGAACGUUUUCUAGGCACCGACCAUAAUCCCGUGCACAGAGCGGGCGGCAGCCGUGCCCUCCAGGGCUCCAUUCUCGUCGGGAGUCAGACAGCGCCGCUAGGCUUCUCAGGCAGGCCUGAUCCACCGUCCAGUCCGUGUGACGUCCUCCUGUGUCUUCCUGAUAGGGUUGCGUCCUUCCUUACUGCGAUGAGGACGGCGGACCCCUGGACCAACUGAAAAAGGCCAUCUCCUUCAUUCUGGGCACCUGGCUCCAACGGUACCCUGAGGAUUUUAUCCAGCCCCCAGAUGUUCCCAGCCUGGAAAUGCUCUUGGCCUACGUUGGUCUUAAUAUGCCUGUCUCGGAGCUGGAGCACCGUGCCCGCGUUCUUCUUUCCCAGCUGGAGCACCCUGAGCACACUGAUGCCGAGACUGAGGCUGAGGAGGACGUGGGCGUGUGCAGAGGGGAUGGCGCUGCGCCCCCCAGAGCAGAGUCUCCAGAGGCUGGGGUUCGGCUGGGAGCAAGGGGCGGGCUCAGAUCACUCUUCCCGCGGACUCCACUCUGGGAAGCCUUUCGGGGGCUUGGUUCUUGGACUGAGACUCCUUGAUUGGCGGCAGAGGCUUCCUUCCUUUGGAGAGACUUGGGCAGGCGGUCAUGUGGUGGCAUUUUCUCUUCUUCCCUCUCCAGCUGCAGCUCCACCGAAAGAUCCAGAAGACCCUGCA